ACGAAUGACAAUGGAUUUGUUCUAUAGGAUCGUACCUCUGUAUCCUUGCUCACUAAGGAGACAGGACCCCAAACCUGGUGGAUGAACCAUGGCCGUGCGAUCAGAGCGUGAUUAACGGCCUUGAUCCUUCUGAUAGAUGGAUCAAACUGUAGAGGAUCGUUCUCAGCUUGGGCUCGCCAAAAUGUGAGAGUGCUUUUUUCUUUAGCACACAGGCC
Molecule: small nucleolar RNA, 215 nt
Organism: Quercus lobata
Lineage: Eukaryota; Viridiplantae; Streptophyta; Magnoliopsida; Fagales; Fagaceae
Product: small nucleolar RNA U3
Exons: 1
Source: RefSeq, a predicted model, not a curated record